GGUCAAGUGAAGAAGCGCAUACGGUGGAUGCCUUGGCAGUCAGAGGCGAUGAAAGACGUGGUAGCCUGCGAUAAGCUUCGGGGAGUCGGCAAACAGACUUUGAUCCGGAGAUCUCUGAAUGGGGGAACCCAGCCAUCAUAAGAUGGUUAUCUUGUACUGAAUACAUAGGUGCAGAGGCGAACCAGGGGAACUGAAACAUCUAAGUACCCUGAGGAAAAGAAAUCAACCGAGAUUCCCUUAGUAGUGGCGAGCGAACGGGGACUAGCCCUUAAGUUGAUUUGAGAUUAGUGGAAGGUUCUGGAAAGUUCCGCCGUAGUGGGUGAUAGCCCCGUACACGAAAAUCUCUUAUCAAUGAAAUCGAGUAGGACGGAGCACGAGAAACUUUGUCUGAACAUGGGGGGACCAUCCUCCAAGGCUAAAUACUACUGACUGACCGAUAGUGAACCAGUACCGUGAGGGAAAGGCGAAAAGAACCCCGGAGAGGGGAGUGAAAUAGAACCUGAAACCGUAUGCGUACAAGCAGUGGGAGCCUACUUUGUUGGGUGACUGCGUACCUUUUGUAUAAUGGGUCAGCGACUUAUAUUCAGUGGCGAGCUUAACCGAAUAGGGGAGGCGUAGCGAAAGCGAGUCUUAAUAGGGCGCUUUAGUCGCUGGGUAUAGACCCGAAACCGGGCGAUCUAUCCAUGGGCAGGUUGAAGGUUAGGUAACACUGACUGGAGGACCGAACCGACUACCGUUGAAAAGUUAGCGGAUGACCUGUGGAUCGGAGUGAAAGGCUAAUCAAGCUCGGAGAUAGCUGGUUCUCCCCGGAAACUAUUUAGGUAGUGCAUCGUGCGGACACUUCCGGGGGUAGAGCACUGUAAUCGUUGGGGGGGUCAUUGCGAUCUACCCCGCGAUAGCAAACUCCGAAUACCGGAAAGUGAUACACGGGAGACAGACGGUGGGUGCUAACGUCCAUCGUCAAGAGGGAAACAACCCAGACCGCCAGCUAAGGUCCCAAAUCCAUGGCUAAGUGGAAAACGAGGUGGGAAGGCAUAGACAGCUAGGAGGUUGGCUUAGAAGCAGCCACCCUUUAAAGAAAGCGUAAUAGCUCACUAGUCGAGUCGGUCUGCGCGGAAGAUGUAACGGGGCUAAACCAUGCACCGAAGCUGUGGACUUGCACUAUGUGCAAGUGGUAGAGGAGCGUUCUGUAAGCCGUUGAAGGUGACUCGUGAGGGUUGCUGGAGGUAUCAGAAGUGCGAAUGCUGACGUGAGUAACGAUAAGGGGAGUGAAAAACUUCCCCGCCGGAAGACCAAGGGUUCCUAUCCCAUGCUAAUCAGGGCUGGGUGAGUCGACCCCUAAGGCGAGGGCGAAAGCCGUAGUCGAUGGGAAACGGGUUAAUAUUCCCGUACCGGCAAUACUGCGAUGGGGGGACGGAGAAAGCUAGGUCAGGCAUGGCGUUGGUAGUCCAGGUGGAAGUGCGUAGGAAGGGGGAUUAGGCAAAUCCGGUUCCCUAUAUUCUGAGACACGAGACGAGCCACUACGGUGGUGAAGCUGUUGAUGCCAUGCUUCCAAGAAAAGUCUCCUAAGCUUCAGGUAACUGGGAACCGUACCCCAAACCGACACAGGUGGUCAGGUAGAGAAUACCAAGGCGCUUGAGAGAACUCGGGUGAAGGAACUAGGCAAAAUGGCACCGUAACUUCGGGAGAAGGUGCGCCGGUGAGGGUGAAGUAUUUACUACGUAAGCCCAUGCCGGUCGAAGAUACCAGGCCGCUGCGACUGUUUAUUAAAAACACAGCACUCUGCAAACACGAAAGUGGACGUAUAGGGUGUGACGCCUGCCCGGUGCCGGAAGGUUAAUUGAUGGGGUUAGCGCAAGCGAAGCUCUUGAUCGAAGCCCCGGUAAACGGCGGCCGUAACUAUAACGGUCCUAAGGUAGCGAAAUUCCUUGUCGGGUAAGUUCCGACCUGCACGAAUGGCGUAACGAUGGCGGCGCUGUCUCCACCCGAGACUCAGUGAAAUUGAAAUCGCUGUGAAGAUGCAGUGUAUCCGCGGCUAGACGGAAAGACCCCGUGAACCUUUACUAUAGCUUUGCACUGGACUUUGAGCUUGCUUGUGUAGGAUAGGUGGGAGGCUUUGAAGUGGGGACGCCAGUUCUCAUGGAGCCAUCCUUGAAAUACCACCCUGGCAACCUUGAGGUUCUAACUCUGGUCCGUUAUCCGGAUCGAGGACAGUGUAUGGUGGGUAGUUUGACUGGGGCGGUCUCCUCCCAAAGAGUAACGGAGGAGUACGAAGGUGCGCUCAGACCGCUCGGAAAUCGGUCGUAGAGUAUAAAGGCAAAAGCGCGCUUGACUGCGAGACAGACACGUCGAGCAGGUACGAAAGUAGGUCUUAGUGAUCCGGUGGUUCUGUAUGGAAGGGCCAUCGCUCAACGGAUAAAAGGUACUCCGGGGAUAACAGGCUGAUACCGCCCAAGAGUUCAUAUCGACGGCGGUGUUUGGCACCUCGAUGUCGGCUCAUCACAUCCUGGGGCUGAAGCCGGUCCCAAGGGUAUGGCUGUUCGCCAUUUAAAGUGGUACGCGAGCUGGGUUUAGAACGUCGUGAGACAGUUCGGUCCCUAUCUGCCGUGGACGUUUGAGAUUUGAGAGGGGCUGCUCCUAGUACGAGAGGACCGGAGUGGACGAACCUCUGGUGUUCCGGUUGUCACGCCAGUGGCAUUGCCGGGUAGCUAUGUUCGGAAGAGAUAACCGCUGAAAGCAUCUAAGCGGGAAACUUGCCUCAAGAUGAGAUCUCACUGGAGCCUUGAGCUCCCUGAAGGGCCGUCGAAGACUACGACGUUGAUAGGUUGGGUGUGUAAGCGCUGUGAGGCGUUGAGCUAACCAAUACUAAUUGCCCGUGAGGCUUGACCAU
Ribosomal RNA from Oryza sativa (Asian cultivated rice), 2890 nucleotides. It matches the Rfam family "Bacterial large subunit ribosomal RNA". The record is from Rfam. Lineage: Eukaryota; Viridiplantae; Streptophyta; Magnoliopsida; Poales; Poaceae.